UGCUGUUGCCACGGUAACCGCAGGUGUUCAAACUCAACCAGGAAGGAUUACAACUUUAAAGUUACUGUGAGGAACUUUUAACUGGUUAUAAACAAUGAACAAGUAAUAUCUGAUUAACAAGGUAAUCUUCAGUCUGACGAUCUCUGUAGAGUGUAGAGGCGACAAUGAGUUUCUUCUACCUUGUAGGUAAUAGGGCUGGGAUGAUUUACCUAACUCCUGAUUCGAUACUGGGACAAAGGAGUUCCUCAUUCUGUCCAUUGAACAGGACUGAGACAGCAGCCUGCCACUGAAUGUGCUCCUCUGCUGAGUGAGUGUGCUGUGAAGAGGGUGGUGGGUAUUGUCCAUGAUAGAUAGCAGUCUACUCAUGGUCCUCCUCUCCGCCACUGACACCAGGGAAUCCAGUUUCAUGCCCAUCACAGAACCAGCUCUCCUCACCAGCCUGUCCAGCCGUGCAGCGUCCCUCUUCUUAAUGCUGCCUCCACAGCAUAGAAGAGGACGCUCGCUACCAUUGACUGGUAAAACAUCUGCAGGAGUUUCCUGACCAGUCCAGUCUGCUGUCCAGCUGCAGCCCCAGGAAUCCAUUUCAACUGUUUCCUUAUUGACCCAACAUGCUCCGGGACACUCCUCGUACGGAGUCAACUCACGUCUCUCUGACCUGAUAAACAGAGAUAAAGAAGGCGACGCAAAAGAGGGAGGGAAGCCGAGAUGGAGACAAAGAGGUUGCGGGUGAAGGCCGGAGACAAAGAGGACAGCGGUUCAAUGGGGCAAAGACUGCUGCCAUUAUAUUUAAAUGUGGAAGGAGGACCGUGAGGGGGAGAAAGAGAGUUAAAUAGGUGAGGAGAUGACAACAGAUGGGAGGGAGAAGAGAUAAGGAGAAAGACAGAGAUGAG
Molecule: long non-coding RNA, 890 nt
Organism: Sebastes umbrosus (honeycomb rockfish)
Lineage: Eukaryota; Metazoa; Chordata; Actinopteri; Perciformes; Sebastidae
Exons: 3
Source: RefSeq, a predicted model, not a curated record